CCUGGCUCAGGACGAACGCUGGCGGCGCGCCUAACACAUGCAAGUCGAACGAGCGAGAGAGAGCUUGCUUUCUCAAGCGAGUGGCGAACGGGUGAGUAACGCGUGAGGAACCUGCCUCAAAGAGGGGGACAACAGUUGGAAACGACUGCUAAUACCGCAUAAGCCCACGGGUCGGCAUCGACCAGAGGGAAAAGGAGCAAUCCGCUUUGAGAUGGCCUCGCGUCCGAUUAGCUAGUUGGUGAGGUAACGGCCCACCAAGGCAACGAUCGGUAGCCGGACUGAGAGGUUGAACGGCCACAUUGGGACUGAGACACGGCCCAGACUCCUACGGGAGGCAGCAGUGGGGAAUAUUGCACAAUGGGGGAAACCCUGAUGCAGCGACGCCGCGUGGAGGAAGAAGGUCUUCGGAUUGUAAACUCCUGUUGUUGAGGAAGAUAAUGACGGUACUCAACAAGGAAGUGACGGCUAACUACGUGCCAGCAGCCGCGGUAAAACGUAGGUCACAAGCGUUGUCCGGAAUUACUGGGUGUAAAGGGAGCGCAGGCGGGAAGACAAGUUGGAAGUGAAAUCUAUGGGCUCAACCCAUAAACUGCUUUCAAAACUGUUUUUCUUGAGUAGUGCAGAGGUAGGCGGAAUUCCCGGUGUAGCGGUGGAAUGCGUAGAUAUCGGGAGGAACACCAGUGGCGAAGGCGGCCUACUGGGCACCAACUGACGCUGAGGCUCGAAAGUGUGGGUAGCAAACAGGAUUAGAUACCCUGGUAGUCCACACCGUAAACGAUGAUUACUAGGUGUUGGAGGAUUGACCCCUUCAGUGCCGCAGUUAACACAAUAAGUAAUCCACCUGGGGAGUACGACCGCAAGGUUGAAACUCAAAGGAAUUGACGGGGGCCCGCACAAGCAGUGGAGUAUGUGGUUUAAUUCGACGCAACGCGAAGAACCUUACCAAGUCUUGACAUCCCUUGACGAACAUAGAAAUAUGUUUUCUCUUCGGAGCAAGGAGACAGGUGGUGCAUGGUUGUCGUCAGCUCGUGUCGUGAGAUGUUGGGUUAAGUCCCGCAACGAGCGCAACCCUUACUGUCAGUUACUACGCAAGAGGACUCUGGCAGGACUGCCGUUGACAAAACGGAGGAAGGUGGGGAUGACGUCAAAUCAUCAUGCCCUUUAUGACUUGGGCUACACACGUACUACAAUGGCGUUAAACAAAGAGAAGCAAGACCGCGAGGUGGAGCAAAACUCAGAAACAACGUCCCAGUUCGGACUGCAGGCUGCAACUCGCCUGCACGAAGUCGGAAUUGCUAGUAAUCGUGGAUCAGCAUGCCACGGUGAAUACGUUCCCGGGCCUUGUACACACCGCCCG
RNAcentral lists this ribosomal RNA (1357 nucleotides) under uncultured bacterium. RNAcentral's name for it is "bacterial SSU rRNA". It matches the Rfam family "Bacterial small subunit ribosomal RNA", at positions 18 to 1396 of the family's 1533-position model. The record is from RNAcentral.